RNAcentral lists this transfer RNA (75 nucleotides) under uncultured Pseudomonas sp. Its description in RNAcentral is "transfer RNA-Ala". Lineage: Bacteria; Pseudomonadati; Pseudomonadota; Gammaproteobacteria; Pseudomonadales; Pseudomonadaceae. The record is from RNAcentral.
AAUUGAAUCAAGCAAUUCGUGUGGGAACUUAUGAAGAAGCCGAUGUCUUCGAUUAAGGAGGUGAUCCAGCCGCAG